AGAGUUUGAUCCUGCUCAGGACGAACGCUGGCGGCGUGCUUAACACAUGCAAGUCGAACGAGGCCCGAACUGGUGGCAACGACCAGGGGAGGCCUAGUGGCGAACGGGUGAGUAACACGUGAGGAGCCUGCCCCGAAGACUGGGAUAACUCUCCGAAAGGAGUGCUAAUACCAGAUGUCCUCUUACGGUCGCAUGGCUGUUUGAGGAAAGGUCCGCUGCUUCGGGAGGGCCUCGCGGCCUAUCAGCUUGUUGGUGGGGUAACGGGCCCACCAAGGCGACGACGGGUAGCUGGUCUGAGAGGACGAUCAGCCACACUGGGACUGAGACACGGCCCAGACUCCUACGGGAGGCAGCAGUGGGGAAUCUUGCGCAAUGGGCGAAAGCCUGACGCAGCAACGCCGCGUGCGGGAUGACGGCCUUCGGGUUGUAAACCGCUUUCAGUGGGGACGAAAACAGACGGUACCCACAGAAGAAGCUCCGGCCAACUACGUG
RNAcentral lists this ribosomal RNA (492 nucleotides) under uncultured Iamia sp. Its description in RNAcentral is "bacterial SSU rRNA". It matches the Rfam family "Bacterial small subunit ribosomal RNA", at positions 8 to 507 of the family's 1533-position model. Lineage: Bacteria; Bacillati; Actinomycetota; Acidimicrobiia; Acidimicrobiales; Iamiaceae. The record is from RNAcentral.